This 497-nucleotide ribosomal RNA is filed under the name uncultured bacterium. RNAcentral describes it as "partial 16S ribosomal RNA". It matches the Rfam family "Bacterial small subunit ribosomal RNA", at positions 28 to 507 of the family's 1533-position model. The record is from RNAcentral.
GAUGAACGCUGGCGGCGUGCCUAAUACAUGCAAGUCGAGCGAACAGAUAAGGAGCUUGCUCCUUUGACGUUAGCGGCGGACGGGUGAGUAACACGUGGGUAACCUACCUAUAAGACUGGGAUAACUUCGGGAAACCGGAGCCAAUACCGGAUAAUAUUUCGAACCGCAUGGUUCGAUAGUGGAAGAUGGUUUUGCUAUCACUUAUAGAUGGACCCGCGCCGUAUUAGCUAGUUGGUAAGGUAACGGCUUACCAAGGCGACGAUACGUAGCCGACCUGAGAGGGGGAUCGGCCACACUGGAACUGAGACACGGUCCAGACUCCUACGGGAGGCAGCAGUAGGGAAUCUUCCGCAAUGGGCGAAAGCCUGACGGAGCAACGCCGCGUGAGUGAUGAAGGUCUUCGGAUCGUAAAACUCUGUUAUUAGGGAAGAACAUACGUGUAAGUAACUGUGCACGUCUUGACGGUACCUAAUCAGAAAGCCACGGCUAACUACGUG